Long non-coding RNA from Strigops habroptila (Kakapo), 1092 nucleotides. RefSeq lists it as uncharacterized. NCBI's taxonomy places the organism in Eukaryota, Metazoa, Chordata, Aves, Psittaciformes, Psittacidae. The record is from RefSeq and is a predicted model, not a curated record. The transcript is spliced from 4 exons.
AUUCUGUGUCUCCAGCAGGCAACUUAAAUAUUUGAGAAGACUCAAGUAGAGAAAGCCCUCCUAAUUUCCAGAGGAAAAUUAAUUCCAAAGAGGACUGAAGUGCUGAUGAUUACCAAUAUAUUUCAUGGAGAGCUGUGCUUAGCAAGGAUAUCUUAUCUAAGUUCUUUCCAGCUCACUAUCAAGUACUGGCUGCUUCACCCUUGCCUGCUUCUUGCAGUUUUAUCUCUGAGCAGACAGCUGAAACAACUCUGCAAAACAUAAUCAUCUCAUUUGGAUCAAAUCAUGAAGCUUUCAAGAAUAAAGGAAAAUAAAUACAAUCUCCUUUCCCCUUCCCACACCAUCACUAUAACACUGAAUAAACAUGUAGGUAAUCUGCUGGCCAGAACAGAAUAUGGAGUACAGAUGUAACACACUGGCAUUGGUUGUUGCUUCUCAGGGUUGGAGGAGGCAAUUUGCUUUGACUGAACCUCCACUGACCUGCAAAGAUAGAUCAAGUCCAGACAUUUGAACCAAGUUUUGACUUCAAGUGAUGAAAGCUCAGCUACCUGAUAAAUCCCAGUUCUGAAGCUUUCCUGAAGCCGUGGAGCAGGCAGGCUGGGAGAUGGACAUUUGACAGGCCACAAUAGACUGCUCCUUUCCCAGAUGUCUGCAUAGGUCUUGGAAGAAAUGAAAAGCAAAAUGCUGCUAUGCGAACUAAUCCAGUGUUUUGUCAAAAUAUUUCCAGAAUUGCAGUCAGCUAUAAAUUAGUUUGAAGGAUUUUUUCUGUAAUAACAAUUUUCAGCAUGAAGCUUGAUGUUCAAGUUGAAAUCUCAAACUGCUACUGAUACUGGAGAAGAAACAGAAAACGAUUAGAGGAAGAAAUAGCAGAGAAUUUUUUAGCUAAAUCUGUUCUGGUUUAUAUGAUGUAUUAUGUAAUUAUGUAUUUGGGUCUUGUGGUAAUGAUAUGUUUAAUGUAAAUUGAUGCAAUAAUGAACUUUAUUGAACAGAUUUUAUAGUACUCUAAAUUUGCUUGAUAUCUAUAUAUCUCUAUCUAAAAUUGAUAAUUCCACAUCAUAAAAAUAUGUUUCUGUUGAAUGUGCUGCACAAUUAAUC